GUUCUAUUUUGUGGGUUUCUGGAACCCGGGGCCAUGAUUGAGAGGGACGGCCGGGGGCAUUCGUAUUGCGCCGCUAGAGGUGAAAUUCUUGGACCGGCGCAAGACGGACGAAAGCG
Molecule: ribosomal RNA, 116 nt
Filed under: Gobiocypris rarus
Lineage: Eukaryota; Metazoa; Chordata; Actinopteri; Cypriniformes; Gobionidae
Description: partial 18S ribosomal RNA
Rfam family: Eukaryotic small subunit ribosomal RNA
Source: RNAcentral